RNAcentral lists this ribosomal RNA (460 nucleotides) under uncultured bacterium. RNAcentral's name for it is "partial 16S ribosomal RNA". It matches the Rfam family "Bacterial small subunit ribosomal RNA", at positions 338 to 795 of the family's 1533-position model. The record is from RNAcentral.
CCUACGGGCGGCUGCAGUGAGGAAUAUUGGUCAAUGGGCGCGAGCCUGAACCAGCCAAGUAGCGUGAAGGCUGACUGCCCUACGGGUUGUAAACUUCUUUUAUAAAGGAAUAAAGUGAGGCACGUGUGCCUUUUUGUAUGUACUUUAUGCAUAAGGAUCGGCUAACUCCGUGCCAGCAGCCGCGGUAAUACGGAGGAUCCGAGCGUUAUCCGGAUUUAUUGGGUUUAAAGGGAGCGUAGAUGGGGUGUUAAGUCAGUUGUGAAAGUUUGCGGCUCAACCGUAAAAUUGCAAUUGAUACUGGCAGUCUAGAGAACAGUUGAGGUAGGCGGAAUUUGUGGUGUAGCGGUGAAAUGCUUAGAUAUCACGAAGAACUCCGAUUGCGAAGGCAGCUUACUAAGCUGCCACUGACAUUGAUGCUCGAAAGUGUGGGUAUCAAACAGGAUUAGAUACCCCUGUAGUC